UUUAACGGCCGCGGUACCCUAACCGUGCGAAGGUAGCAUAAUCACUUGUUUCUUAAAUGGGGACUAGUAUCAACGGCACCACGAAGACUACACUGUCUCCCCCCUAAAAUCAAUGAAACUGAUCCCCUCGUGAAGAAGCGAGAAUACAAAUAUAAGACGAGAAGACCCCAUGGAGCUUUAAACGAACUUCAAUUGCUCCCUUCCACACCAUAGAAAUUGAGCACUAAUGAUGAUAUGUUUUCGGUUGGGGUGACCGCGGAGUAAAACAAAACCUCCACAAUGAAUGCAAUAAGCUAACAAAAGAACUACAAUUCUAAUAAUCAAAAAAUUGACAUUAUUGACCCAAACACUUGAUCAAUGAACCAAGUUACCCUGGGGAUAACAGCGCAAUCCAUUUUAAGAGCCCAUAUCGACAAAUGGGUUUACGACCUCGAUG
RNAcentral lists this ribosomal RNA (436 nucleotides) under Leptopelis calcaratus (Efulen forest treefrog). RNAcentral describes it as "partial 16S ribosomal RNA". It matches the Rfam family "Bacterial large subunit ribosomal RNA", at positions 1923 to 2531 of the family's 2925-position model. Lineage: Eukaryota; Metazoa; Chordata; Amphibia; Anura; Arthroleptidae. The record is from RNAcentral.